This 274-nucleotide ribosomal RNA is filed under the name uncultured eukaryote. RNAcentral describes it as "partial large subunit ribosomal RNA". It matches the Rfam family "Eukaryotic large subunit ribosomal RNA", at positions 40 to 318 of the family's 3401-position model. The record is from RNAcentral.
AUAUCAAUAAGCGGAGGAAAAGAAACCAACAGGGAUUGCCUUAGUAACGGCGAGUGAAGCGGCAAGAGCUCAAAUUUGAAAUCUGGCUUAUGCCCGAAUUGUGAUUUGUAGAGGAAUGUUCGGGGAAGUUUAGGUCUGAUUUUUCUGGAAGGAAAAGCCAUUGAGGGUGAGAGCCCCGUACGACUGACGACUGAACCAUGUGUACGUCCUUCGAAGAGUCGAGUUGUUUGGGAAUGCAGCUCAAAAUGGGUGGUGAAAUUACCAUCUAAAGCUA